UUCGCAAUGCCCGAAAGGGUGACGAAGCGACGCCGCGUGGGGGAUGAAGGCCUUCGGGUUGUAAACCCCUUUCGCUCGUUAAGAAAUCGUGGCCGACUAAUACUCGGUUACGUUGACAAAGGCGAGUAAAGAAGCACCGGCUAACUCCGUGCCAGCAGCCGCGGUAAUACGGAGGGUGCUAACGUUGUUCGGUGUCAUUGGGCUUAAAGGGUGCGUAGGCGGCCGGGUAAGUCAGGUGUGAAAGCCCUCGGCUCAACCGAGGAAUUGCGCUUGAUACUGCCUGGCUCGAGGACCAAAGGGGAGAGCGGAACUCCAGGUGUAGCGGUAAAAUGCGUAGAUAUCUGGGGGAACGCCGAAGGCGAAGGCAGCUCUCUGGGUGGUUCCUGACGCUGAGUGCACGAAAGCUGGGGGAGCAAACAGGAUUAGAUACCCUGGUAGUCCCAGCCCUAAACGAUGGGCACUAAGUAGAGGGGUUUU
Molecule: ribosomal RNA, 477 nt
Filed under: uncultured bacterium
Lineage: Bacteria
Description: bacterial SSU rRNA
Rfam family: Bacterial small subunit ribosomal RNA
Source: RNAcentral